This 242-nucleotide unclassified non-coding RNA is filed under the name Hevea brasiliensis (rubber tree). Lineage: Eukaryota; Viridiplantae; Streptophyta; Magnoliopsida; Malpighiales; Euphorbiaceae. The record is from RNAcentral.
UGAAUAUUGACGGAUCGCUAGACUUGUCCUUGUAUUUCAAUAAACCUGAACUUGUAAGGUUUUCUGUGCUGGAGAACCUCUGAUUUCCAAUAUCAUGAACAUAACUUUUUAUUUCCAUUGUGGAAAGAGGUGAUGAAAGGUGCUGUUUAACAUAAAUUACAUCUUUACCACCAAUAGUUACAGAUGUAAUUAUGUGAGUCCCAAAAUUUUCAAUGAAGCUUGCUAAUGCGGGUGGGUCCCAA